GAUAUUUUUCAUAUUUAUCCUUUAUAAUGUAUAUCAUUUUAUACAUUAUAAUGCAAAUCAGUGAUUAAUAUUUCACUAGUCAUAUACGUUUCCGGCACCUAUUCUUGGGACUUAAGAAGCUUCAUCAUGGUUUUCAAUCCACAUUAGAAAGCAACGACGCGUUUCCUGAAGGAUAUCUAGUUCCACGUUCGUCAAAACGUUUUAAAACAUCCAUACUUCUGAUCUUUUUCCGGAUUGCGUGCCUUAUGGCCUUCAGGAAAGUUGCCGCAAAACAGUUUUGGCGCAAUACGCAGAAAUCAGAGCAAAUCAAAGACAUUAUUGUGAACAACAAGGAGCAAUUUUCAUGGAACGGCAGCAAGAAAUAUCGGUGACAUGGGAGACACAGAAACCGCAAAAAUUCACUCGUAGGACCAACCAAGCUAACAAUGGAAAGCAAAGUUAACUUAUUGGGAGCUUAAUACAAGAUUUACAUAUGAUUAAUAGAAAAAUAAAUUUACAACAUGAAAAAAAUAAUUUUCUUUCAUUUUUCUUUACUUUUGUUUACAGCAAUUUAAUAACAAUGGCUAAUUGUAUUCAAUGUGCAGAAUUUUAGAACUUUAAGCAUUGAAUGAAUAAUUUCCAAAAAAUCAUUUGCUGAUAUAAAAUACGUUUAUACUAGGCUAAGCUUAAUACGUUAAAAUGCAUCACAAUGAGUGAAUAGACGGAAUAUGGUUUUAGAAUGGUAUUUAACUUAUCUAGUAUUCUAUUUUCU
This 751-nucleotide long non-coding RNA is filed under the name Aedes aegypti (yellow fever mosquito). RNAcentral describes it as "lncRNA AAEL022596". The record is from RNAcentral. Lineage: Eukaryota; Metazoa; Arthropoda; Insecta; Diptera; Culicidae.